AGAUGUUGGGGUUAUAUGGUCAAGUGACGAAGCGCAUACGGUGGAUGCCUAGGCGGUAGGAGGCGAUGAAGGACGUGGUAGCCUGCGAAAAGCCUCGGGGAGCUGGCAAACAAGCAUUGAUCCGGGGGUAUCCGAAUGGGAAAACCCACCCCUCACCUAGAAGCUUUUGGGCGUAGAGGCCUGAGAGGGGAAGCGCGAAGAGCUUCUAGGUGAGGGGUAUCGCACACUGAAUCCAUAAGUGUGCGAGGCUAACCCGGGGAACUGAAACAUCUAAGUACCCGGAGGAAAAGAAAUCAACCGAGAUUCCCUUAGUAGCGGCGAGCGAACCGGGAGCAGCCCUUAAGUCCCGUUACUUUUAGUAGAACAGUCUGGAAAGUCUGGCCACAGAAGGUGAUAGCCCUGUAUACGAAAAGAGUAGCGGGAUGAAAUCGAGUAAGGCGGGACACGUGAUAUCCUGUCUGAACAUGGGGGGACCAUCCUCCAAGGCUAAAUACUCCCUACCGACCGAUAGUGAACCAGUACCGUGAGGGAAAGGCGAAAAGAACCCCGUAGAGGGGAGUGAAAUAGAACCUGAAACCGUAUGCGUACAAGCAGUCGGAGCCCCUCACCUAGAUGGUAUUCUGCUGGAGAAUACAACACAGACAUUGAGGUGAAACAACCUUAAGUGAGCACAGUAAUGAGUGAGUGCCAUCUAGGUGAGGGGUGACGGCGUACCUUUUGUAUAAUGGGUCAGCGACUUACUUCUCAGUGGCAAGCUUAACCGAUUAGGGGAGGCGUAGCGAAAGCGAGUCUUAAAUGGGCGCCACAGUCGCUGGGAGUAGACCCGAAACCGGGCGAUCUAUCCAUGGCCAGGGUGAAGGCGCGGUAACACGCGCUGGAGGCCCGAACCGGGUAAUGUUGAAAAAUUAUCGGAUGAGCUGUGGAUCGGAGUGAAAGGCUAAUCAAGCCCGGAGAUAGCUGGUUCUCCCCGAAAGCUAUUUAGGUAGCGCCUCGUGUCUCACUCUCGGGGGUAGAGCACUGUUUCGGCUAGGGGGCCAUCCCGGCUUACCAAACCGAUGCAAACUCCGAAUACCGAGAAGUGCAAUCACGGGAGACACACGGCGGGUGCUAACGUCCGUCGUGGAAAGGGAAACAACCCAGACCGCCAGCUAAGGUCCCUAAAUCACAACUCAGUGGGAAACGAUGUGGGAAGGCCCAGACAGCCAGGAGGUUGGCUUAGAAGCAGCCAUCCUUUAAAGAAAGCGUAAUAGCUCACUGGUCAAGUCGGCCUGCGCGGAAGAUUCAACGGGGCUUAAGUUGUGUACCGAAGCUGCGGAUGCCCGAUCCUCGGAUCGGUGCAUGGUAGGGGAGCGUUCCGUAAGCCUGCGAAGGCGGAUCGAGAGGUCCGCUGGAGGUAUCGGAAGUGCGAAUGCUGACAUGAGUAACGAUAAAGGGGGUGAAAGGCCCCCUCGCCGAAAGCCCAAGGUUUCCUGCGCGACGCUAAUCGACGCAGGGUUAGUCGGCCCCUAAGGCGAGGCCGAAAGGCGUAGUCGAUGGGAAGCAGGUUAAUAUUCCUGCACCAUUCAUUACUGCGAUGGGGGGACGAAGAAGGCUAGGUCAGCCAGCUGUUGGUUGCUGGUUUAAGCGUGUAGGGAGUCACCUUAGGAAAAUCCAGGGUGGCAAUUCCAAGGCGUGACGACGAGUCUCUACGGAGACGAAGUGAUUGAUGCCAGGCUUCCAGGAAAAGCCUCUAAGCUUCAGGUAAUGAGUGACCGUACUCCAAACCGACACAGGUGGGCAGGGUGAGAAUCCCAAGGCGCUUGAGAGAACUCUGGUGAAGGAACUAGGCAAAAUAGUACCGUAACUUCGGGAGAAGGUACGCCCCCGGUACGUAAAGGCCCUCGCGGCCGGAGCGGAAAGGGGUUGCAGUGACCAGGUGGCUGCGACUGUUUACUAAAAACAUAGCACUCUGCAAACUCGAAAGAGGACGUAUAGGGUGUGACGCCUGCCCGGUGCCGGAAGGUUAAGUGAUGGGGUUACCCCU
This 2023-nucleotide ribosomal RNA is filed under the name Candidatus Thiosymbion oneisti. RNAcentral describes it as "bacterial LSU rRNA". It matches the Rfam family "Bacterial large subunit ribosomal RNA", at positions 1 to 1897 of the family's 2925-position model. Lineage: Bacteria; Pseudomonadati; Pseudomonadota; Gammaproteobacteria; Chromatiales; Chromatiaceae. The record is from RNAcentral.